GCCGGCAUAGCUCAGUUGGUAGAGCAGCUGUCUUGUAAACAGCAGGUCGCGGGUUCGAGUCCUGUUGCCGGCUCCG
Molecule: transfer RNA, 76 nt
Filed under: Saccharomonospora sp. CUA-673
Lineage: Bacteria; Bacillati; Actinomycetota; Actinomycetes; Pseudonocardiales; Pseudonocardiaceae
Description: tRNA-Thr
Rfam family: tRNA
About the family: Transfer RNA (tRNA) molecules are approximately 80 nucleotides in length.
Source: RNAcentral